Molecule: long non-coding RNA, 317 nt
Filed under: Carica papaya (papaya)
Lineage: Eukaryota; Viridiplantae; Streptophyta; Magnoliopsida; Brassicales; Caricaceae
Description: long non-coding RNA (CPAP_LNC000268)
Source: RNAcentral
UUCCUUGGUCUCAAUCAUCCAAUCAUACACAAACAUGUAAACUAGUAAUUGACACCAAACAAGACAACACAGUAUUGGGUUCACCAUAAUACAAACCAUAAUAAAAGAAACCAUGAUUCAUGCAUACGAGACCAUAAAAUAAAUACAUCAAAUAUCAUACUGCAUUUAAUACUGAAAAAUAGAUCAAACAACAACUGACCAACAAUAUAUUAGAUUCGGGCUCCAUUGGCAACCUCAAUCAAUUAUACAUAUCUAUAAAGUCACAAAAUACCGUUUAAUUAUUUAUUAAGCUUUAAUGUCGUGAUAGGAGGUAGGGU